CCCUUAGAUGUUCUGGGCCGCACGCGUGCUACACUGAGUGGAUCAGCGGGUCAGGUUGCGCGAAAGCGUUUCCUAAUCUUUAAAUCCGCUCGUGAUGGGGAUUGACGGUUGCAAUUUUCUGUCAUGAACGAGGAAUACCUUGUAAGCGCGGGUCAUCUUCCCGCGCUGAAUACGUCCCUGCCCUUUGUACACACCGCCCGUCGCUCCUACCGAUUGAGUGGUCCGGUGAGGCUUUGGGAUCUGAGCGGAAAGAGCGUUUCGCUGUUUCUGCUCGGAAAACUCAGUCGAACCUUAUCAUUUAGAGGAAGGAGAAGUCGUAACA
Molecule: ribosomal RNA, 322 nt
Filed under: uncultured eukaryote
Lineage: Eukaryota
Description: partial 18S ribosomal RNA
Rfam family: Eukaryotic small subunit ribosomal RNA
Source: RNAcentral